Molecule: ribosomal RNA, 460 nt
Filed under: uncultured bacterium
Lineage: Bacteria
Description: partial 16S ribosomal RNA
Rfam family: Bacterial small subunit ribosomal RNA
Source: RNAcentral
CCUACGGGCGGCAGCAGUGAGGUAUAUUGGUCAAUGGACGAGAGUCUGAACCAGCCAAGUAGCGUGAAGGAUGACUGCCCUAUGGGUUGUAAACUUCUUUUAUAUGGGAAUAAAACGUUCCACGUGUGGGAUUUUGUAUGUACCAUAUGAAUAAGGAUCGGCUAACUCCGUGCCAGCAGCCGCGGUAAUACGGAGGAUCCGAGCGUUAUCGGGAUUUAUUGGGUUUAAAGGGAUCGUAGGUGGAUUGUUAAGUCAGAUGUGAAAGUUUGCGGCUCAACCGUAAAAUUGCAGUUGAAACUGGCAGUCUUGAGUACAGUAGAGGUGGGCGGAAUUCGUGGUGUAGCGGUGAAAUGCUUAGAUAUCACGAAGAACUCCGAUUGCGAAGGCAGUUCACUGGACUGCAACUGACACUGAGGCUCGAAAGUGUGGGUAUCAAACAGGAUUAGAUACCCUUGUAGUC